AAAAAGAUAAGCUAAUUAAGCUAUUAGGUUCAUACCCUGCUAAUGAAAGUAAAAUCUUUCUCUUUUUA
RNAcentral lists this transfer RNA (68 nucleotides) under Tribolium castaneum (red flour beetle). RNAcentral's name for it is "tRNA-Met". Lineage: Eukaryota; Metazoa; Arthropoda; Insecta; Coleoptera; Tenebrionidae. The record is from RNAcentral.